AAUCUGAAGAUUGUGAUGCUCCUUGCGGUAGAGUUGACAGAUUAUUAAUAAUGGAAUUGACGAUUGCUACUGAUGCCAAGGUGCAUUACUCGGACAUAUAAUCAAACUAUUAGCACCAAGCUUAUUAAAAAAAAGCCAAAGAAAUAUAUUACAAAGUAAGAAAAUAUAAAAGGAAAGGAAUACUUGACAGACACAUCUAUACCAACUUGCAAGAAAAUAUUCAAACGUUGGCACUACUUUCGGGAAACAGUUCUUCUAAUUUUAUUGCGGAGAAUGACCUUGAAAUUAGAGGAUACUAAGGAAUCAGCUUCGAGGAAACUUG
This 322-nucleotide unclassified non-coding RNA is filed under the name Hevea brasiliensis (rubber tree). Lineage: Eukaryota; Viridiplantae; Streptophyta; Magnoliopsida; Malpighiales; Euphorbiaceae. The record is from RNAcentral.